AUAAAGUUUUAUUCUAGCUUAAAGUAUAAGUUUUUAAUUUGUUUAUAUAUAAAUUUUUGUGAUUUACAAAAUUAAUUUAAAAAAUUAAUUUUAAAAAUAAUAUUGGUAGUAAAAAAUUUUAAAUUCUGAGUAAUUUUAGGUUUAGAAAUUUAUUUUAGUAUUAACAUAAUUUGUGCCAGCAGUUGCGGUUACACAAAUAAUACAAUUUAUAAAUUUUGAUUUAUAGAAAUUUAUUUUUAUUAAAAAUAAUUAGUUUAAUUUAUUAGGUGAAAUUUUAAAUUAUUAUAAGUUUUUGUGUAAUAAAUAAUUCUAUUAAAUUUUAUAAAAAACUAGGAUUAGAUACCCUAUUAUAAAAAAUUAAAUUUAAAUUAAUUAUUAAUAGUUAUGUUCUUUAAAAUUAAAGAUUUUGGCGGUAUUUUAAUCUUUUCAGAGGAACCUGUUCUAUAAUUGAUAUUCCACAAUAAUAUAAACUUAAUUUAGAAAUUUGUAUAUCGUCGUUUAAAAUAUUUUAUUAGAAAUUAAAUGUUUAUAAUUUUUUAUAAAAAAUAUAUUUCAGAUCAAGGUGCAGUUUAUAAUUAAGAAGUAAUGGGUUACAUUAAAAUUAUUUUUGGAAAAAAAAAUUAAUUUUUUUUAAAAAUUGGAUUUGAAUGUAAUUAAAUAAAUUUUUAUUUAAUGAAUUUAGCUCUAAAAUAUGUACAUAUCGCCCGUCACUUUCGAUUAAAUUGAAAUAAGUCGUAACAAAGUAGAUGUACUGGAAAGUGUAUCUAGUAAGAA
RNAcentral lists this non-coding RNA (774 nucleotides) under Staphylinidae sp. 2 EF-2015. Lineage: Eukaryota; Metazoa; Arthropoda; Insecta; Coleoptera; Staphylinidae. The record is from RNAcentral.